AUAAUGGGUCAGCGACUUAUAUUCUGUAGCAAGGUUAACCGAAUAGGGGAGCCGAAGGGAAACCGAGUCUUAACUGGGCGUUAAGUUGCAGGGUAUAGACCCGAAACCCGGUGAUCUAGCCAUGGGCAGGUUGAAGGUUGGGUAACACUAACUGGAGGACCGAACCGACUAAUGUUGAAAAAUUAGCGGAUGACUUGUGGCUGGGGGUGAAAGGCCAAUCAAACCGGGAGAUAGCUGGUUCUCCCCGAAAGCUAUUUAGGUAGCGCCUCGUGAAUUCAUCUCCGGGGGUAGAGCACUGUUUCGGCAAGGGGGUCAUCCCGACUUACCAACCCGAUGCAAACUGCGAAUACCGGAGAAUGUUAUCACGGGAGACACACGGCGGGUGCUAACGUCCGUCGUGAAGAGGGAAACAACCCAGACCGCCAGCUAAGGUCCCAAAGUCAUGGUUAAGUGGGAAACGAUGUGGGAAGGCCCAGACAGCCAGGAUGUUGGCUUAGAAGCAGCCAUCAUUUAAAGAAAGCGUAAUAGCUCACUGGUCGAGUCGGCCUGCGCGGAAGAUGUAACGGGGCUAAACCAUGCACCGAAGCUGCGGCAGCGACGCUGAUGCGUUGUUGGGUAGGGGAGCGUUCUGUAAGCCUGCGAAGGUGUGCUGUGAGGCAUGCUGGAGGUAUCAGAAGUGCGAAUGCUGACAUAAGUAACGAUAAAGCGGGUGAAAAGCCCGCUCGCCGGAAGACCAAGGGUUCCUGUCCAACGUUAAUCGG
RNAcentral lists this ribosomal RNA (761 nucleotides) under Escherichia coli. Its description in RNAcentral is "partial 23S ribosomal RNA". It matches the Rfam family "Bacterial large subunit ribosomal RNA", at positions 612 to 1372 of the family's 2925-position model. The record is from RNAcentral. Lineage: Bacteria; Pseudomonadati; Pseudomonadota; Gammaproteobacteria; Enterobacterales; Enterobacteriaceae.